GACGAACGCUGGCGGCGUGCCUAAUACAUGCAAGUAGAACGCUGAAGCGAGGAGCUCGCUCUUCUUGGAUGAGUUGCGAACGGGUGAGUAACGCGUAGGUAACCUGCCUUGUAGCGGGGGAUAACUAUUGGAAACGAUAGCUAAUACCGCAUAACAAUGGAUGACACAUGUCAUUUAUUUGAAAGGGGCAAUUGCUCCACUACAAGAUGGACCUGCGUUGUAUUAGCUAGUAGGUGAGGUAAUGGCUCACCUAGGCGACGAUACAUAGCCGACCUGAGAGGGUGAUCGGCCACACUGGGACUGAGACACGGCCCAGACUCCUACGGGAGGCAGCAGUAGGGAAUCUUCGGCAAUGGGGGCAACCCUGACCGAGCAACGCCGCGUGAGUGAAGAAGGUUUUCGGAUCGUAAAGCUCUGUUGUAAGUCAAGAACGGGUGUGAGAGUGGAAAGUUCACACUGUGACGGUAGCUUACCAGAAAGGGACGGCUAACUACGUG
RNAcentral lists this ribosomal RNA (497 nucleotides) under uncultured bacterium. RNAcentral's name for it is "partial 16S ribosomal RNA". It matches the Rfam family "Bacterial small subunit ribosomal RNA", at positions 28 to 507 of the family's 1533-position model. The record is from RNAcentral.